UUACGGCCACAUCACUUUAAACUACCGGUUCCCGUACGAUCACCGAACUUAAGCAACGUCGAGCUUGAUCAAUACCUAGAUGAGUGACCACUUGGAAAUAAGUGCUGUA
Molecule: non-coding RNA, 109 nt
Organism: Acanthosepion pharaonis
Lineage: Eukaryota; Metazoa; Mollusca; Cephalopoda; Sepiida; Sepiidae
Source: the annotation of a GenBank genome assembly